This is an RNA transcript of Vombatus ursinus (common wombat), 792 nucleotides long. RefSeq lists it as uncharacterized. The transcript is spliced from 8 exons. The record is from RefSeq and is a predicted model, not a curated record. Lineage: Eukaryota; Metazoa; Chordata; Mammalia; Diprotodontia; Vombatidae.
GUCAGAAGCCAGAAUGGAUGUCCUACUUGUAGUCAUAGCUGCUGUGCCGCUCAUCUUGGGCAGAGCAAGAAAAGGCAGCUGAAACUGCAUGGUAAGAGGAAACUCCAUUUUAUGAUUGGGGAAAACUAGGAGCAGGGUGACAUUAGAUGGUUGAAGUAACUUUGUUGCUGGAGAGUAAAAGAAAGACUCCCGUCUACAUGUGGCUUGGGACUCCUAGAGAAGAAUAGCGGCCAUCAGGGACACUGGACAAGAAUAUGAGGAAGAACAAAUAUAUGAAGGAAUAUAUGAAGAUUAUCAGGUGGUCUAUUACACAGUCACUCCAUAUUACGAUGACUUUGGAGUCAACUUUACCCUUGACUAUUCCCAAUUUGAGGAGGAGGAUAGAAUGAGCAUUGAGAAACAAACUAUAACUCAAGCAGGAGACAGGAAGGUUAAUCCUGAGAAAAAACUUCCAGACAAUGGCAUACAGAAGACAACAGAAAAAGCCAGUACUCAGUCCACUACACCAAAGGAGAGAUUAUACACAGAGAAGAACUGGGGCCAAGAAGGAAAAGAAGAUGGCCCCAGGGACAGAAAAGAAUCUACCACAGAGGCACCUUCAGCUAUGGAUGCUGCUGUGCCCACUCUGCAGCAUCACCUCCCACUCCUCCUUCUGCCCUGGGUUCUGCUGAGGUGGAUAUUGCUACUUUAGAAGGAGAGAGAAGGCUGCCAUGACUUCUUUGAAAAGGGGGUGGGGGGGGAGUGGAGUGCAGAAACUGGAAAAAGAAAUAAAUAAUUGAACCACAAACGUUA